Sapajus apella (tufted capuchin) is the source of this 4118-nucleotide long non-coding RNA. RefSeq lists it as uncharacterized. Lineage: Eukaryota; Metazoa; Chordata; Mammalia; Primates; Cebidae. The record is from RefSeq and is a predicted model, not a curated record. The transcript is spliced from 2 exons.
GUGUGUGUGUGUGUGUGUGUGUGUGUUUUCAUCACUUGUUUUAUGUUCAUUUUUGUUUUUCUCCAUAAAGUCUGCAGACUUUCCAACAAUACCUUGAUGUUUUCUGAAAGCUGAGCCAGUGUGCACACUCUAUGGCCUGAGGCCUCAAUUCGGUGGCAUGUACUCGGGACUGGUGUGUACCUACAAACCGUGUGAUGGGGUCAGUGCCCAAGAACACUAGUUUCUGUGUCCUGUUUCUGUGUUAAAAAGACAUUUCAUUCAACUGGAUAACAGGCCAAGUCUAGUGGAGAAAAGAUUUACUCUGCCAUAGGAUGGGGCAGCAGCCUGCAGUUCAGAAGACUGUUGUGUGUCUGGAAAUUUCCAGAGCCUCCAGUUGCUGGCAGAGGGCCAGAAGGUAGGGCGCAUUUGUCUGCAGAUUAGAGGAGGGGGUCUGCUCACCCCGACAUGAUGCUUGGCCAUGUGUGAACCAUUGAGUUUUCAGGGUUGGAUGUCCUGGCUGACACUGCCAUAGGAGGGUGUAAGAGGCUGAGAGUGACGCAACUGUAGGCUGUGGGGAUGAUGUUCACAGGAAGCCUCCCUGCUGCCUGUGGCAAGAGCAGAGAGUGAAAUGCUUGGGGCUGGGAAGAGGCAACAAAAGCCUACAGAAUCUAUUCUCAGUUCAUCUCCCAUCCUAGUCCUGUCAUGGCCUAACAUCCUUAGCUACUGAUUGCAGAGGAGAUUCCGCACAUUUGUGGUCAUGUGGCCUUGGAUGCUGGCCGAUUCACAUUGGCGCCCCUGGCAUCUGUGCCUUCAUCUGUGGGCUCAGGAACACGCUAACAAGUUUCCUCCAGUUUCCUUGUAUAUGCAUGUGGAAUAUACUCUGUUGGCCUGGGUCUUUUCUGCCUUUUCUUGCCAGUUGGGUCAGAUCUAGCUUAUUAAUCAGCGCUUUUUGAGCUUUAAUAGAACUGGCUCAGACCAGUUGGAGACCUGAAAAGGGCUAUGUGAUAGACGUUUUUUUUAAGAUUAGUUUCAAAUGUACAGCAAAAUGGAGUACAGAGUCCACAGUUCCCAUAUGCCCUCGAUUCCUGUACACUCUUGGGUCACUCCACUAGCAACCUCCUAUACCAGAGUAGAAUAUUUGUUAUAGUCAUGAACUUAUACUGACAUGUCAUCAUCACCCAGAGUGAUACCCUUGAUGACGCCCAUUCUGAGGGUUUGGAGAAAUGUAUAACGAGUGUAUGUAUAAUGAAUGUGUCAUCAUAGCUGUUAUGAUAUCCUGCAGUAUAUUUUCACUGUGGUAAUUAUCUUGUGCUCUACUUAUUUAUUCUCUCUUUUCCUAACCACCGCAAACCACUAAUCUUUUCAGUCUCCAUAGUUUUGCAUUUUUCUGAACGUUAUGUUCUUGGAAUCAUAGAGCAGAUAGCUUUCCAGAUUGGCUUCUUUCAUUUAGUAAUGUGCAUUAUACAUUCCUCAGUGUCUUCUGAUGGCUCAAUAGCUCAUUUCUUUUUAGAAGUGAUUAAUAUUUCAUUUGCUAAAUAUACCACAGUGUUAUUUAUCAGUUAAGCUACUGAGGGACAACUUAGUUCUUCCUACGUUUUGGUAGCUAUUUUAGAAAAUGCUAUAGACAUCUGUGUUCAGGUUUUUGUGUGGACAUCAGCUUUCUGAUCAUUUGAAUAAAGACCUAGGGAGUGCAACUGCUGGAUCACAUGGUAGGAGUAUGUAUAGUUUUGUAAGAAACUGCCCAUAUUAGGAGAGUCUUUACCAUGAUAGAGGAGAACAUGUUAACAUACUGAAGAAUCAGUCCACUGAAGGAGAUAGAACUUGAGGAUCUAGAAAGAAAUGAUGUAACCAUGAGAGCUGUUAAAAGAUAUGAUUGGGCACUCUGAAACAUUAGGAGGUAUAUUUGAGCAUUCAGAAAUUUAAAACCAGGCAGCCCCAGGCUACAAGCAGCUUAGAGCUCCAACAAAGAGGGUUUGGGAGGGUGGGGGAAGAAUUACAUUGUGAAUGUAGAAGAAAAAGAAAAUGCUUGAUCUGGUAAAGUGCAGCAGUGGUCUCAUUUGGAUCAUUACAGUGGAAAGUCUCUAGGUGGAUGUUAGUUGAUGGUUUCUGACUGGUUAAGCAUAAGUUUCCUUUUAUUUACACUGAGUCAAGUUUUGGUUUGUUUAAGGAGGAACUGAGUGCACUGCACUGGAGCCAUCCUGAGCCUCAUGGCUACCUGCUUAUCUGAUUAUUUUUUUCACAGAGAAGACCUUUUUAAAAAUAUCCAUUGCCCUCCCUGGGGUGCAGUGGUAUGAUCACGGCUCACUGCAGCCUCAACCUUCCAGGCUCAGGUGAUCAUCCCACCUCAGUGCUCCCCACCCUCAGUAGCUGGGACUACAGUCAUGUGCCACCACACCACCAUGCUCAGCUAAUUAUUUAUCUGUAUUUGUUUUAGAGGUGGAGUUUCCCUCAGUUGCUUAGGCUUGUUUCAAAGUCCUGGUCUCAAAUAAUCUGCCUGCAUUGACCUCCCCAAUUGCCAGAAUUCCAGGCCAUCUAAAUCUUUUAUCUCAGAUUUGCUUUGUGAGAAAAGGAGGGAUGAUUUUUCUGACAUGAUGAGGAAGAGAAAGAUGAGGUGGGUUCAUUCUGUGUGUAUUAUUUUCUUUGGUGAUGGGAAGAUGAUCUGCUAUUACCUAAUGGGAUAUCUUUUCUCCUUAAUUGAUUUGGCAAGAUAUCAGAAGACAGAAGUUGAAUAAAGGAAUGACAUAGAAAAGAUUGGUCAAAAAGUUAGAAGAACAUAGAAAAAAUGGUGUCGUUGGAGACACAAACCUUUUAUUGAUUUUUGGAAAAUUAGGGCCAAUUUGUUGUAUAAGAGAUUUGAAUUUGUGAUGAUACCUGUGACCAUUUUUUGAUAUUUUUCUGGUUCAGCUGAGUGGUAUCACUGAGCCAACACGAAGUGGGGUUCAUCCAGGGAUAAGAUUUUGCCAGAGAAAGGAAGAGCAGCAAGUCAGGGAGCUUAAGGCAAUUAUUAGAAAGUGACUGUCUAAAUUGCUUAGGUGGAAAGAGACAGAUUGGAUUUCUCUGUUUGGUAUUUGGGGGAAGAGGUGUGUGAGUAUGUAUGUGAGAUGUGUUGUUCAUUCUCCUGAGAGCUAAAACGGGGGGAUUAAUGGACUGCAGUUCUGGACAAGGUGGAAAACUCUUAAAGUGGAAGUACUGGGGUAAGUGCUCUGACAGGCUGGGAUGGUGUAAUCAGUCCCUUCACCUGGAAAUCAGUAGAAUGUUAGCAGUCUAGACUCAAACUUUGUAAAAAACAAGUGGAGAAAAGGAAGUCCCUCACAGUAACUGGCACCAUAAUCAAGACAGAAUGUUUCCAGAAUAAAUGGAGUUAUCUGCUUUCAGCCGUAGGUGGUAGCUAUUCUCUGCCCUGAUGAUAUGUGAUAAUAAUUUGUGAUCCUCAUGUCUUAAAAUGGAGUCACUCAUCUCCAGUAGAAUUAAGUCUACAGUGAAGUUGUCCGCUCAUCCCCAAAGAGAUAAACACAUGUGAAUGGGCUGAGGUGAUAACAAUUAUUGCUGCCUGAGAUCAUGAGAGACCUGAAGUGAACUGAUAGGAAGUGAAAGGUGGCUGAGAACAAGAGAGUGGACCCAUCUGCAGAGGAUCAUAAAACCAGCAGAGACAAGAUCUUGUCUAAGAUGUUUUCAGAAGCUUUGUCCAUGAGAACUGUAAGGACUUCUCCAGACUUGGUGGCUGCUGCUAUGACCUCUGCCCCAAAGGAGCAUCUGACCAUCAUCCAAAGGGCUUCUGGACCCACUGGAUUCUUCUGGAGGAAGCAAAGGAGGACCAAUGACUGGAGUAGCAAAGAACUCCAGGAUUCAUGAUGAACUAAUUGCUAGAGCAAAAAUAUCCAAGACCUUCCUGACUUAUGAUGGGGAAGGGGUAACAGAAGUUGGAUGAGACAAUAGCCAAACAUGAUUUCCGUGUUUACCUAAACUGAACAAUGGAAGACUGUAGUUGACGCCAUUAAGAUUUCUCAAGAAUAUGGAAGAUUAUUAUUCACUUCUGAUGGGACCUUGUAAGUCACCUGAAAAAAAUUCACAUGAAAAACAACUUUUACAAAAUGUCAAGUUAUGCUACAACAUUCACAUAAUAUACAGUACAACCCUGA